RNAcentral lists this ribosomal RNA (502 nucleotides) under uncultured Glomeromycotina. Its description in RNAcentral is "partial small subunit ribosomal RNA". It matches the Rfam family "Eukaryotic small subunit ribosomal RNA", at positions 591 to 1092 of the family's 1831-position model. The record is from RNAcentral. Lineage: Eukaryota; Fungi; Glomeromycota.
CCAAUAGCGUAUAUUAGUGUUGUUGCGGUUAAAAAGCUCGUAGUUGAAUUUCGGGAUUGGGAUAUAUCGGUCGUGCCUUUAGGGGCAUGAAUCAGUGUGUGGCCAAUUCUCACCUUCUGGUGAAUUGGGAUGCUCUCGGGUGUUUCAAUGAACUAGGACUUUUACUUUGAAAAAAUUAGAGUGUUUAAAGCGGGCAUUUUUGCUUGAAUACGUUAGCAUGGAAUAAUAAAAUAGGACGAUGGUUCUAUUUUGUUGGUUUUAGGACCACGUAAUGAUUAAUAGGGAUAGUUGGGGGCAUUAGUAUUCAAUUGUCAGAGGUGAAAUUCUUGGAUUUAUUGAGGACUAACUACUGCGAAAGCAUUUGCCAAGGACGUUUUCAUUAAUCAAGAACGAAAGUUAGGGGAUCAAAGACGAUUUAUGUACGUCGUAGUCCUAACCAUAAACUAUGCCGACUAGGAAUCAGACAAAGUUAAUUUUUUAACGACUUGUUUGGUACCUUACG